This 408-nucleotide ribosomal RNA is filed under the name uncultured bacterium. Its description in RNAcentral is "partial 16S ribosomal RNA". It matches the Rfam family "Bacterial small subunit ribosomal RNA", at positions 28 to 526 of the family's 1533-position model. The record is from RNAcentral.
GACGAACGCUGGCGGCGUGCUUAACACAUGCAAGUCGAACGGAGUGGCGAACGGGUGAGUAACACGUGGGUGAUCUGCCUUGCACUUCGGGAUAAGCUUGGGAAACUGGGUCUAAUACCGGAUAGUGCAAGAUGAGCUCGCGGCCUAUCAGCUUGUUGGUGGGGUAAUGGCCUACGAAGGCGUCGGCGGGUAGCCGGCCUGAGAGGGUGUACGGCCACAUUGGGACUGAGUUACGACCCAGACGCCUACGGGAGGCAGGGGUGGGAACUAUUGCACACUGGGCGGAGGCCUGAUGGAGCGACUCCGCGUGGGAGAUGAAGGCCUUCGGGUUGUAAACUCCUUUCGACAGGGACGCGGUACCUGUAUAAGAAGCACCGGCUAACUACGUGCCAGCAGCCGCGGUAAUUC